This 433-nucleotide ribosomal RNA is filed under the name uncultured bacterium. RNAcentral describes it as "partial 16S ribosomal RNA". It matches the Rfam family "Bacterial small subunit ribosomal RNA", at positions 29 to 507 of the family's 1533-position model. The record is from RNAcentral.
AACGAACGCUGGCGGCAGGCUUAACACAUGCAAGUCGAGCGCGCCCUUCGGGGUGAGCGGCGGAAGGGUGAGUAACGCCUGGGAACGUGCCCUUUUCUAAGCAACCGCCUCGGGAAACUGAGAGUAAUACCGUAUACGCCCUUUGGGGGAAAGAUUUAUCGGAAAAGGAUCGGCCCGCGUUGGAUUAGGUAGUUGGUGGGGUAAUGGCCUACCAAGCCGACGAUCCAUAGCUGGUUUGAGAGGAUGAUCAGCCACACUGGGACUGAGACACGGCCCAGACUCCUACGGGAGGCAGCAGUGGGGAAUCUUAGACAAUGGGGGCAACCCUGAUCUAGCCAUGCCGCGUGAGUGAUGAAGGCCUUAGGGUUGUAAAGCUCUUUCAGCUGGGAAGAUAAUGACGGUACCAGCAGAAGAAGCCCCGGCUAACUCCGUG